This is a small nucleolar RNA of Scomber scombrus (Atlantic mackerel), 68 nucleotides long. RefSeq annotates it as small nucleolar RNA SNORD75. Lineage: Eukaryota; Metazoa; Chordata; Actinopteri; Scombriformes; Scombridae. The record is from RefSeq and is a predicted model, not a curated record. The transcript has a single exon.
AGUCGGUGAUGAUUCAAGAAUAAGAGUAGUGGACAGAAGUGAUUUCUGAGAAGUUUUACACUGAGACU